AAGAAAGAAUGCAAGAACUGCUAACUCAUGUCCCCGUGAAUAAUACCACGGCUUUCUU
RNAcentral lists this transfer RNA (58 nucleotides) under Eozapus setchuanus (Chinese jumping mouse). RNAcentral describes it as "tRNA-Ser". The record is from RNAcentral. Lineage: Eukaryota; Metazoa; Chordata; Mammalia; Rodentia; Dipodidae.